CAUUGAGAAGCUAAAUAUAAGCACCAGCCUUUUAAGCUGGAGACUGGUGGCUCAAAACCACCCUUAGUGA
Molecule: transfer RNA, 70 nt
Filed under: Albatrossia pectoralis (giant grenadier)
Lineage: Eukaryota; Metazoa; Chordata; Actinopteri; Gadiformes; Macrouridae
Description: tRNA-Lys
Rfam family: tRNA
About the family: Transfer RNA (tRNA) molecules are approximately 80 nucleotides in length. Their secondary structure includes four short double-helical elements and three loops (D, anti-codon, and T loops).
Source: RNAcentral